GGGGAUAUAGCUCAGUGGUAGAGCACACACUUCACAUGUGUGAGAUUUGAUCCUCG
RNAcentral lists this transfer RNA (56 nucleotides) under Heterocephalus glaber (naked mole-rat). It matches the Rfam family "tRNA", at positions 1 to 55 of the family's 71-position model. From Rfam's summary of the family: Transfer RNA (tRNA) molecules are approximately 80 nucleotides in length. Their secondary structure includes four short double-helical elements and three loops (D, anti-codon, and T loops). The record is from Rfam by way of RNAcentral. Lineage: Eukaryota; Metazoa; Chordata; Mammalia; Rodentia; Bathyergidae.